GUGCUCGUAGCUCAUCUGGUAGAGCGCUCGCCUGAAGCGUGAGAGGCAGUCGGUUCGACUCCGACCGAGCACA
RNAcentral lists this transfer RNA (73 nucleotides) under Ardenticatenia bacterium. RNAcentral's name for it is "tRNA-Phe". It matches the Rfam family "tRNA". Rfam says of the family: Transfer RNA (tRNA) molecules are approximately 80 nucleotides in length. Their secondary structure includes four short double-helical elements and three loops (D, anti-codon, and T loops). Further hydrogen bonds mediate the characteristic L-shaped molecular structure. tRNAs have two regions of fundamental functional importance: the anti-codon, which is responsible for specific mRNA codon recognition, and the 3' end, to which the tRNAs corresponding amino acid is attached (by aminoacyl-tRNA synthetases). tRNAs cope with the degeneracy of the genetic code in two manners: having more than one tRNA (with a specific anti-codon) for a particular amino acid; and 'wobble' base-pairing, i.e. permitting non-standard base-pairing at the 3rd anti-codon position. The record is from RNAcentral. Lineage: Bacteria; Bacillati; Chloroflexota; Ardenticatenia.